AUUCAGUUGAUGAGUCCCGAAUAGGACGAGACGCACGUCAAACUGGAU
Schistosoma mansoni is the source of this 48-nucleotide non-coding RNA. NCBI's taxonomy places the organism in Eukaryota, Metazoa, Platyhelminthes, Trematoda, Strigeidida, Schistosomatidae. The record is from Rfam.